This 509-nucleotide ribosomal RNA is filed under the name uncultured bacterium. RNAcentral describes it as "bacterial LSU rRNA". It matches the Rfam family "Bacterial large subunit ribosomal RNA", at positions 188 to 753 of the family's 2925-position model. The record is from RNAcentral.
GGGAACUGAAACAUCUAAGUACCCGGAGGAAAGGAAAUCAACAGAUACUCCCCCUAGUAGUGGCGAGCGAACGGGGACCAGCCGAGCCGUGAGAAUGACCAGAAUGUGCUGGAAAGCACAGCCAGAGUGGGUGACAGCCCCGUAUGGGAAGUUUGAUCGGACGUAUUAAGUAGGGCGGGACACGUGAAAUCCUGUCUGAAGAUCGGGGGACCACCCUCGAAGGCUAAGUACUCCUUACUGACCGAUAGCGAACCAGUACCGUGAGGGAAAGGUGAAAAGCACCCCGACGAGGGGAGUGAAACAGUUUCUGAAACCGGACGCCUACAAGCAGUCGGAGCCUCCUUGAGAGGUGACGGCGUACCUUUUGUAUAAUGGGUCAACGACUUGGUCUGUCUAGCAAGCUUAAGCCGUUAGGUGUAGGCGCAGCGAAAGCGAGUCUUAAAUGGGCGACUUAGUUAGACGGAUCAGACCCGAAACCAGAUGAUCUAGGCAUGAGCAGGAUGAAGGUU